UAGUCCACGCCGUAAACGAUGAUUACUCGCUGUAGGCGAUACACAGUCUGUGGCUAAGCGAAAGUUUUAAGUAAUCCACCUGGGGAGUACGAUCGCAAGAUUGAAACUCAAAGGAAUUGACGGGGGCCCGCACAAGCGGAGGAACAUGUGGUUUAAUUCGAUGAUACGCGAGGAACCUUACCUGGACUUAAAUGUAGAUUGCAUAGCUUAGAGAUAGGCUUUUCUUCGGACUAUUUACAAGGUGCUGCAUGGUUGUCGUCAGCUCGUGCCGUGAGGUGUCGGGUUAAGUCCCGCAACGAGCGCAACCCUUGUCCUUAGUUGCUAACAUUUAGUUGAGAACUCUAGGGANACCGCCGGUGACAAACCGGAGGAAGGUAAGGAUGACGUCAAGUCAGCAUGCCCCUUACGCUCUGGGCUACACACGUGCUACAAUGGCCGUGACAAAGAGUUGCUACUUUGUGAAAACAAGCUAAAUCUCAUAAACGCGGCCUCAGUUCGGAUUGCAGGCUGAAACUCG
Molecule: ribosomal RNA, 517 nt
Filed under: uncultured bacterium
Lineage: Bacteria
Description: bacterial SSU rRNA
Rfam family: Bacterial small subunit ribosomal RNA
Source: RNAcentral